RNAcentral lists this transfer RNA (61 nucleotides) under Ictidomys tridecemlineatus (thirteen-lined ground squirrel). Its description in RNAcentral is "Spermophilus tridecemlineatus (thirteen-lined ground squirrel) tRNA". It matches the Rfam family "tRNA", at positions 6 to 65 of the family's 71-position model. From Rfam's summary of the family: Transfer RNA (tRNA) molecules are approximately 80 nucleotides in length. The record is from Rfam by way of RNAcentral. Lineage: Eukaryota; Metazoa; Chordata; Mammalia; Rodentia; Sciuridae.
UGUGGCUCAGUGGUAAAGCACUUGCUUAGCAUGUAUGAGGCACUGGGUUCGAUUCUCAGCA